AUGGCCGUGGGUUGCAGGUUUCCGGUGCGAGCGGAGUUCGCGGACAGCCUGGAACAUCCAGAUCCGGUGCCUCUUGCGGUGCUCCCGCGACGUGAUGUCACCCCUGCUACGCCGGCGGAUUCGAAUGCUGGCUCCGGGUGCAGGCAGCACGUUGGUUGCGCUAGCCCUGGGAGGACGCAGGGUGAAAAUCGGUGUCGACGGCCGGGCUCUCCGACGAGGUCUGCGCAGUCCACCCACAGGGUAAAUCCAGAGGCGCCGGGAUGGACCAAAAGCAACUGUUACAAUGAAGAAAAAGCCAUCACUGGUUUGUCACAGCAGAAGGUGGGUGCAGGAGAUGAUGAUGAUGCGCUGCUAAUAUUGGACUUGCCAGCGUAUUCUCAUUUCAGCAAAGGGUCAUUUUUGUGGCAGCCCAGAGAUAGGAAAACUGUGUCUAGUCAAGACCUACUUAGCAACAAAGAGAGAAUCAAAUUCAUCAUAAAUAAGGGGCUGCCAUUGACUUGUCGUUCAUCGCAAAGUUCAGGAGAAUCUGGAUGA
RNAcentral lists this ribosomal RNA (534 nucleotides) under Triticum aestivum (bread wheat). RNAcentral describes it as "partial small subunit ribosomal RNA". Lineage: Eukaryota; Viridiplantae; Streptophyta; Magnoliopsida; Poales; Poaceae. The record is from RNAcentral.